This is a long non-coding RNA of Pygocentrus nattereri (red-bellied piranha), 687 nucleotides long. The record is from Ensembl. NCBI's taxonomy places the organism in Eukaryota, Metazoa, Chordata, Actinopteri, Characiformes, Serrasalmidae.
CAGUACCACUCCAGGUGGUCUCCUCUACAUCUGAUAUCACUGAACGAGGGGGUGGAGAAGCUUCAGCAUGUUUCAGACCACUGUUUGUAUGAAGCCCAUCACUGUACGGAGCACGUGGUGAAGGUAGGCAGCCACUGUGAGACUCGUCUGCUCUGUUUCAGGGGUGAGGUUUGGGGAAUAUUACUGCCACGUCUGCCACCUGUGUGAUAAAAACAAGAAGAUCUACCACUGGCAGCCCUGCAGCAUCUACAGGAUUCCUGUUGAUAUAGUUGAGCGAUGCAGUCCUGUAGCUCUGCUCACUGUGUCCUGAUCUUACUGAUCUUCACAUUCACUGCUGUGUAUGUGUCAGCUGUUCCCCCAGUGAAGGUGAAGCUUAAUGAGACGGCUACUCUGCCCUGCUAUGAGAGCUGUGCUGGUGUCGUCAGAUGGACUGUAUCCCAUAAACCCAGAGAUGUUCUAGCUGAGUGUGAUCAGACUUCAUGUAGAUCAGUGAAGGAGGGAUAUCAGAUGAUCCAUGAUCAGUACCUGAAGGGGAAUCUCUCUCUCAUCAUCACUAAUGCUGACCUCAGUAAGAGCAGUACAUACACGUGUGAGUGCGGCAAAUCAGAGAUCUGUGAUGUGUACCUUCAGGUUGAGGAGAAAGGAACUGAAAACAGCAGAAACAGUGAGGGAAUGUCCCAUGGUAAG